RNAcentral lists this ribosomal RNA (301 nucleotides) under uncultured bacterium. RNAcentral describes it as "partial 16S ribosomal RNA". It matches the Rfam family "Bacterial small subunit ribosomal RNA", at positions 509 to 807 of the family's 1533-position model. The record is from RNAcentral.
CAGCCGCCGCGGGAAUACGAAGGGUGCAAGCGUUAAUCGGAAUUACUGGGCGUAAAGCGUGCGUAGGUAGUUGUUUAAGUCUGCUGUGAAAGCCCUGGGCUCAACCUGGGAAUUGCAGUGGAUACUGGGCAACUAGAGUAAGGUAGAGGAUAGUGGAAUUUCCGGUGUAGCAGUGAAAUGCGUAGAUAUGUGGAGGAACACCGAUGGCGAAGGCAGCCUCCUGGGCCAAUACUGACGCUCAUGCACGAAAGCGUGGGGAGCAAACAGGAUUAGAUACCCGAGUAGUCCCUGUCUCUUAUAC